Molecule: ribosomal RNA, 216 nt
Filed under: Campeiostachys nutans
Lineage: Eukaryota; Viridiplantae; Streptophyta; Magnoliopsida; Poales; Poaceae
Description: Elymus nutans partial small subunit ribosomal RNA
Rfam family: Eukaryotic small subunit ribosomal RNA (bases 40-216)
Source: RNAcentral
GGGUCAGUAGGUUGGUCAUGCCACUGGUAUGUACUGGUCUCACUGAUUCCUCCUUCCUGAUGAGCCGUAAUCCCAUUAAUUUGGUGUUGCGGGGAAUCUGGACUGUUACUUUGAAAAAAUUAGAGUGUUUAAAGCAGGCAUUAGCUUGAAUACAUUAGCAUGGAAUAAUGAAAUAGGACGUUUAAUUCUAUUUUGUUGGUUUCUAGGAUUGACGUA